RNAcentral lists this ribosomal RNA (406 nucleotides) under uncultured bacterium. RNAcentral describes it as "partial 16S ribosomal RNA". It matches the Rfam family "Bacterial small subunit ribosomal RNA", at positions 30 to 526 of the family's 1533-position model. The record is from RNAcentral.
AUUGAACGCUGGCGGCGUGCUUUACACAUGCAAGUCGGACGAGUGGCGAACGGGUGAGUAACGCAUCGGAACGUACCGAGUGAUGGGGGAUAACUGUCCGAAAGGACAGCUAAUACAGCAUAUUAUUAGAUCGGCCGCUGUUUGAUUGGCUGGUUGGCGGGGUAAAGGCCCACCAAGGCGACGAUCAGUAGAGGGUCUGCGAGGAUGAUGCGCCACACUGGGACUGAGACACGGCCCAGACUCCUACGGGAGGCAGCAGUGGGGAAUUUUGGACAAUGGGCGCAAGCCUGAUCCAGCCAUGCCGCGUGUCUGAAGAAGGCCUUCGGGUUGUAAAGGACUUUUGUCAGGGAAGCGGUACCUGAAGAAUAAGCACCGGCUAACUACGUGCCAGCAGCCGCGGUAAUUC